This 253-nucleotide ribosomal RNA is filed under the name uncultured bacterium. RNAcentral describes it as "partial 16S ribosomal RNA". It matches the Rfam family "Bacterial small subunit ribosomal RNA", at positions 524 to 776 of the family's 1533-position model. The record is from RNAcentral.
UACGUAGGGUGCGAGCGUUGUCCGGAAUUAUUGGGCGUAAAGGGCUCGUAGGCGGUUUGUCGCGUCGGGAGUGAAAUCCACUGGCUUAACUGGUGGCUUGCUUUCGAUACGGGCAGACUGGAGGUAUGCAGGGGAGAACGGAAUUCCUGGUGUAGCGGUGAAAUGCGCAGAUAUCAGGAGGAACACCGGUGGCGAAGGCGGUUCUCUGGGCAUGUCCUGACGCUGAGGAGCGAAAGUGUGGGGAGCGAGCAGG